UACAAAACGGUUACAUAGUUUGAAAGAACAAAUGAAUAGAAAGAAAGGAAAACAACUUAUCAGUAACUAGUUAAUAAGUGAAGAUUAAUGUUAAGUGCAUGGUUAGUAUAUAUAGUUAAAGUUAAUAUUACAUAACUAAAAUAACGUAUCAGUGACUAGUUAAUAAGUGAAGAUUAAUGUUAAGUGCAUGGUUAGUAUAUAUAGUUAAGGUUAAUAUUACAUAACUAAAAUAACUCAGAAAGAAAGAAAGAAAGAUUUAUUAUGCACAUGAUAUUAGUAUUUACAAAUUAUCUGUUGAGAUUAUAGAACUUAAGAAUUAUUACAUAAUGAUGUUAUUAUAAAUUUAGAUUGGAUGUGCGCAGUAUAGGCUAGAUCUAAUAUUAGCAUUAAGGACAGGGUUAAGUUGAGAAAUUAACGAUGGAUGUGCGCAGGGCUAGAUCUAAUAUUAGCAUUAAGGACAAGGUUAAGUUGAGAAAUUAAUAGGCUUUCACGGAUAUAAGAAGAUCCCAUGUUUGGCUUUAAAGUUAUUUGCUGGGCUCUGCUCUUUAUCUUUAAACUAAUAUGAAUGAACACGUUUUGUAAUUGCAUGGCUUUCUAUCACAAAAGUGACCAGUGUUUAUGAUUCGUUCUUUAGAAAUAUAAUUUCUGUAGUUCUCAUAAUCAACCGAUCACAAAGCCAGUUCAUAUAUAGGUAGGGACCGACGAUGUUACUGUAAUAUAUCUUUAAUAAUUGGUUGAUUUUACUAACGAUGAUUUGAUGUUAAAGCUGUUGAUCUGUAUUAAAUCUUGACAUUUAUUUUAAGCUGCUUUUUUAAACUUUUCAAAAUGAUUUUUUCGCCAAUGAUUAAAAAAUGCUUGUCAUGAUCACAUUCGUAAUAAUAUCGAUGAAGUAAAUAUCAAUUCUAUGAAUAGCACUUUUUUGAACGUAGAGCUUUCCAUGGGCGGAUGUCUUUACAAAGCGGUGCCUAGCACCUCCCUAGAUAAGUCCAGCACCACCCUAAAAAAUUUACUUGACCAUACAUUUUCUGCUUUUCGAAUAGCGAUUAGGGGAACUCCUAUACUGGUAACAUGUUAGCGCGUGUCGUUUCUUGAAACGAUGUAAUUCAUUUGUGAGCUCGCGACAAAAUAAUGAGAAUGAUUUAGUUAAAUAUCAUGGUUAAAUACGUAAACAUGUCGAGGUUGUUAUAGAGCCAUAUUUUCGUAUAUACUGUACUUUAACAAUGAACAAGUAAAUUUACUGUAGUGUGCUACAGUAACUGUCUAGUUCGCAUACGUGCAGAUAAAAAGCCAAUAUCAAC
Molecule: non-coding RNA, 1298 nt
Organism: Paramuricea clavata
Lineage: Eukaryota; Metazoa; Cnidaria; Anthozoa; Malacalcyonacea; Plexauridae
Source: the annotation of a GenBank genome assembly